This is a non-coding RNA of Schistosoma mansoni, 45 nucleotides long. Lineage: Eukaryota; Metazoa; Platyhelminthes; Trematoda; Strigeidida; Schistosomatidae. The record is from Rfam.
AUCCAGCUGACGAGUCCCAUAUAGGACGAAAUGCGCAUCCUGGAU